UGGUUUUAGCUUAAUUAAAGUGUCUGAGUUGCAGUCAGGUGAUGCAAGUUAGAGUUUUGCAGGCCUUC
Molecule: transfer RNA, 68 nt
Filed under: Cnemaspis peninsularis
Lineage: Eukaryota; Metazoa; Chordata; Lepidosauria; Squamata; Gekkonidae
Description: partial tRNA-Ala
Source: RNAcentral